GAAAUGCGAUAAGUAGUGUGAAUUGCAGAAUUCAGUGAAUCAUCGAAUCUUUGAACGCACAUUGCGCCCCUUGGUAUUCCAUGGGGCAUGCCUGUUCGAGCGUCAUUUGUACCCUCAAGCUCUGCUUGGUGUUGGGUGUUUGUCCCGUCUCCGCGCGUGGACUCGCCCCAAAGUGAUUGGCAGCCGGCGUACUGGUCCCGGAGCCCAGCACAUGUCGCGCAAACGAGUGCCUUGGUACGGCGGCGUCCAUAAGCCCCUCUCUCACGCUCUUGACCUCGGAUCAGGUAGGGAUACCCGCUGAACUUAAGC
RNAcentral lists this unclassified non-coding RNA (309 nucleotides) under plant metagenome. Its description in RNAcentral is "partial contains 5.8S ribosomal RNA, internal transcribed spacer 2, and large subunit ribosomal RNA". The stretch from base 1 to 105 matches the Rfam family "5.8S ribosomal RNA", at positions 50 to 154 of the family's 154-position model. The record is from RNAcentral.